Long non-coding RNA from Leptopilina boulardi, 522 nucleotides. RefSeq lists it as uncharacterized. The transcript has 3 exons. The record is from RefSeq and is a predicted model, not a curated record. NCBI's taxonomy places the organism in Eukaryota, Metazoa, Arthropoda, Insecta, Hymenoptera, Figitidae.
UGUUUUUUUGAGUGCAAAAUAAAAUUCGAUUUCAAGUUGAAAUUUUUUAAGGGGAAGAAAAAAAUAAAACAAUACCUAAAAAUUUAUGGUUUAUUGAUGGAGUUUUUGUGAAAGAUUUUUCAUUUCUCUUAUGAGCAGAAAUAUCCGAAAAAGAGGAUUUUUAAUUAUUGAAUUCGGAAAUUUUUGGAAUAUUUGAAGAUUCUAUCCUCGAUGGCUUGUGGUGUCACGUACUUCAAAGAUAAGGGCAAAAGUAAAAACGAGUAUCUUGAAGGACACAGAAUUCUUCAUAUUCAGACUUUUUAGAACUCGGUCUAUUUUUACGGUUAUUUUUCACAUUUUCUGAAUGGAAAUUUAACUUGAAAGUAGGGAUCUCCGAGGGCUAUUUAGUUUUAAAGAAUCUUCUUGAAGCUGAAAAUUCGUUAUUAAGACAACAAUGUAUCUAACAUACAAUUCAGAUGUAACAUUGUGUGCUUUUUUACGAUCUUUCGGUGGUUUUGCACUUUGUGUAUUUGUGUCAAAUUG